RNAcentral lists this ribosomal RNA (253 nucleotides) under uncultured bacterium. RNAcentral describes it as "partial 16S ribosomal RNA". It matches the Rfam family "Bacterial small subunit ribosomal RNA", at positions 524 to 776 of the family's 1533-position model. The record is from RNAcentral.
UACGUAUGGUGCAAGCGUUAUCCGGAUUUACUGGGUGUAAAGGGAGCGUAGGCGGCACGGCAAGCCUGAUGUGAAAGCCCGCGGCCCAACCGCGGGACUGCAUUGGGAACUACCGGGCUGGAGUGCCGGAGAGGUAGGCGGAAUUCCUAGUGUAGCGGUGAAAUGCGUAGAUAUUAGGAGGAACACCAGUGGCGAAGGCGGCCUACUGGACGGUGACUGACGCUGAGGCUCGAAAGCGUGGGGAGCAAACAGG